UCCGUUAUGGUGUAGUCGCUAACAUUAUCGCCUCUCAUGGUUUUAUCCUGUUGUGACGCGACAGCCCAGGGUUCGAUUCCCUGUAACGGAA
RNAcentral lists this transfer RNA (91 nucleotides) under Marasmius sp. AFHP31. Its description in RNAcentral is "tRNA-Glu". It matches the Rfam family "tRNA". From Rfam's summary of the family: Transfer RNA (tRNA) molecules are approximately 80 nucleotides in length. Their secondary structure includes four short double-helical elements and three loops (D, anti-codon, and T loops). The record is from RNAcentral. Lineage: Eukaryota; Fungi; Basidiomycota; Agaricomycetes; Agaricales; Marasmiaceae.